CAGCUCUUGACAUCUUCUGACCGGUGCAGAGAUGCACUUUUCCCUUCGGGGACGGAAAGACAGGUGCUGCAUGGCUGUCGUCAGCUCGUGUCGUGAGAUGUUGGGUUAAGUCCCGCAACGAGCGCAACCCUCAUCGUCAGUUGCCAUCAGGUUAAGCUGGGCACUCUGGCGAAACUGCCGGUGACAAGCCGGAGGAAGGCGGGGAUGACGUCAAGUCCUCAUGGCCCUUACGGGCUGGGCUACACACGUGCUACAAUGGCGGUGACAGAGGGAAGCGAUCCCGCGAGGGGGAGCCAAUCUCAAAAAGCCGUCUCAGUUCGGAUUGCACUCUGCAACUCGAGUGCAUGAAGUUGGAAUCGCUAGUAAUCGCGGAUCAGCACGCCGCAGUGAAUACGUUCCC
Molecule: ribosomal RNA, 400 nt
Filed under: uncultured bacterium
Lineage: Bacteria
Description: bacterial SSU rRNA
Rfam family: Bacterial small subunit ribosomal RNA
Source: RNAcentral